This 502-nucleotide ribosomal RNA is filed under the name Kellermania confusa. Its description in RNAcentral is "eukaryotic LSU rRNA". The stretch from base 125 to 278 matches the Rfam family "5.8S ribosomal RNA". The record is from RNAcentral. Lineage: Eukaryota; Fungi; Ascomycota; Dothideomycetes; Botryosphaeriales; Planistromellaceae.
AACAAGGUUUCCGUAGGUGAACCUGCGGAAGGAUCAUUACCGAGUUCCGGGCCCCAGUGGCCCGCUCUCCAACCAAAAACCGUCAGUAAACUGUACCGUCUGAUCAGAUAUUCAAAUAUCUUAAAACUUUCAACAACGGAUCUCUUGGUUCUGGCAUCGAUGAAGAACGCAGCGAAAUGCGAUAAGUAAUGUGAAUUGCAGAAUUCAGUGAAUCAUCGAAUCUUUGAACGCACAUUGCGCCCCCUGGCAUUCCGGGGGGCAUGCCUGUUCGAGCGUCAUUGCAACCCUCAAGCUCUGCUUGGUAUUGGGCGCCGUCCUUCAGCGGACGCGCCUCAAAGGCCUCGGCGGCGGCCUCUCAGCCUCAAGCGUAGUAACACACCUCUCUCGCUUUGGAGGCCGGGCGGUCGUCGGCCGGACGAACCUUCGGAUAACACAUCUCAAAGGUUGACCUCGGAUCAGGUAGGGAUACCCGCUGAACUUAAGCAUAUCAAUAAGCGGAGGA